This 497-nucleotide ribosomal RNA is filed under the name uncultured bacterium. RNAcentral describes it as "partial 16S ribosomal RNA". It matches the Rfam family "Bacterial small subunit ribosomal RNA", at positions 28 to 507 of the family's 1533-position model. The record is from RNAcentral.
GAUGAACGCUGGCGGCGUGCCUAAUACAUGCAAGUCGAGCGAACAGACGAGGAGCUUGCUCCUCUGACGUUAGCGGCGGACGGGCGAGUAACACGUGGAUAACCUACCUAUAAGACUGGGAUAACUUCGGGAAACCGGAGCUAAUACCGGAUAACAUGUUGAACCGCAUGGUUCAACAGUGAAAGACGGUCUUGCUGUCACUUAUAGAUGGAUCCGCGCCGCAUUAGCUAGUUGGUAAGGUAACGGCUUACCAAGGCAACGAUGCGUAGCCGACCUGAGAGGGUGAUCGGCCACACUGGAACUGAGACACGGUCCAGACUCCUACGGGAGGCAGCAGUAGGGAAUCUUCCGCAAUGGGCGAAAGCCUGACGGAGCAACGCCGCGUGAGUGAAGAAGGUCUUCGGAUCGUAAAACUCUGUUAUUAGGGAAGAACAAAUGUGUAAGUAACUAUGCACGUCUUGACGGUACCUAAUCAGAAAGCCACGGCUAACUACGUG